Molecule: long non-coding RNA, 5768 nt
Filed under: Populus tremula
Lineage: Eukaryota; Viridiplantae; Streptophyta; Magnoliopsida; Malpighiales; Salicaceae
Description: long non-coding RNA (PTRE_LNC000948)
Source: RNAcentral
UGUUCAUAAGGUGGGUCCUUGUGUGCAGGUAUCAGCCGAGAAACAAAAUAUCUAGCUUGAGAGCUUCCCUCCUGUCAUUAACCCAAACCAACAAGUUGAUCAGUUAGGCCACAAAAAGAUAAAACUUAGGACAAAGGUGCACAGAAAUGGAUUGCAAAGAAUCAAGGGAAGAAAAACCUUGAAUGCAAGGAUUCUAGGUGCUGGAAACCGCAAUUCAGUUAUCUCUUCAGCUAAUGUUCUGCAGGCAGCUAAAGCAGCUGCACUUCUUCCUUCAUCAGCGGCUAGCUCAGCACCCUGUAGUUAGCAGUUAUUGAGAAAGUAUCUUUGUAUAUCAGGACAUAAAUGCCAGCCGACACAGAAAGAAACUUGAGAAAUAGACUAGUGGACUCAAACCAACACUAGUUAGGUACAUGCAUGUGCAUAGCAAUCAGAUAUCCUCUCAGAAACAGGCAGUCGUGGUGAGGAAAAUUAACAUAAAAGCUGCCAGCUGAAAAUAUAGAAAUUGAUAUUUAAAUGGAAGACUGGCAUCAUUACAGGUACUAGCACGCUUCUUACCUUCAAUCUAUUACUUCAGAAUUAGAAAAAAAUGCCUCUAAAUUUCUUUUUUUAUUGAAUCACAAAAGGAUUCCUUUUUCUGAAACAAUUAUAAGCAGGGAAGCAAUAAAUGCUUUCCCUUUGUUUCACCUAUCAAUAUUUCUGCCAGGAAAUGUCAUGCUUGAAUGUUUUUCCAUCACCUGAAAUUAGAUCAUUACAUAAACCAUAGCACAGUCAAGUGUUUGUCCCCUCCCUAUAUCUGCAAUAAAUUCUUGAAUUUCCUUCCCGGUCACAAACUUUAACAGAAAAUACCAAAUUUUAUAUCCAUGACACAAAAGUGCUCACAAACCAUGCAAAAACAGACAGCAGACACACCCACAGUUGAAGAUGCUCAGUUCAUGAGAAACGCAGGGGAAAUAAACAUACAAAAUAAAAAUAUUCAAUAAUUAGCAAUAUCAGGGAAUUGCAAAAGGAUGGCAUCAUAAAACAGCAAGAAGAAAAGUCAAGUCACUUACCAACCAAAUGAAGACAUCUGUACCAUGGUCAAGAACAACAGCUGUAUCAGACUGCAUUGCAAGGUCAUAAGCUGGAAGUUCCUCAAAAGUGCCCCCUUCCCGGUACAUUAGACAACGAGGUGCCACCAUACGGAGUGAAAGGUCAAAAGAUGCAUUCAAAAACAAAUUCCGCAGCACAGACCUCUCAUCUUCAUGACCAACAAUGCUUCCCAAAAGAGGGCCCUUCUAAGAUGGAAAAGGAGCCCUGGUAAUGCAGAGAGUUCUUUAGGAAAUCGAUGAAGUUUUGACUUGGGUACUAGGGACCCAAAUUUUAAAGCAAUGUCUUUAAUUCUUUCAUCUAUUGUUCCACGCAUAUCCAUGGCAUCUGAAUGGUUUUUGGCUCGCAAGAGGGUUCUCUUGGCAAUAAGGAUUGCAGCCACUUCAUCUUGAAAACUUUCAAGAUAUGCUGAAACACUAUCCACAGUAGGCAACCUGACAGUAACCACUCUUGAAAUAUCAGCUUGAUACACGUUUGUGUAUUGAACAGUAAACUGGAAAAAUACACAAUCGCUCUUGAUGUCUCCUUUAGUUUCCAUAGAGAUUGCAAAGCUUUGUGUUUCUUCAACACUUAGCAUUUGAAUGCAGAGCGCAUUGUCAUUCUUGAAAGUUUCGUGUGUGUCUACAUGCGCUUCUUCACCAGGACCCACAACUUGAGUAAUUAAAAUAUCAUCAGAACAUCGAAUCUCCAACAAACCAUGGGAACCUGAUGCCCUAGAAGAUGCCCUUUGCAAAUUCACACCAAAGGCCUCCCCAAAGUCAUCGUGAAGAACCAAAACACCUCCAGAUGCCUUUGCAAGCGGCUGCAAAACUGGAAUUCUAACAGGGCAAGUUCCAGCACACAGAAUGUCAACUACUGUAUUAUUUCUAUGCGCUUCGCGGCCCAGGUUCUCCAUCCAUUUCAAGGCUGUUUUUUCCAGAUGAGGAUAAUUUGGGUGGCUAAAAGAAUGAGGAACUGAUCCAGGGCCAUAUGUAUUAGGCCCGCCAGCACACACGAUGAUCCUGCUAUUGCCUCCAUUCCUUUUAACUACACCUCGGGACAUUUCUGCUGAUGGUCCUCGAAUUAUAGCCAGAGCAACCUCAACUGCAGUACCCAGGCACCGAUCUCUUAAAGCUUCUGCAAUGUUUGAUUUAUACGGUCUCAAAGAUGAGAAUAUUUUGUGCGCUACUUCCUUUGAAGCAUGCAUCGGUGACAAGUACACCAGUUCCGUAGAUCAAUGCUUUCAAGGACUCUUGGAUAGGUGAUUUGUCACCAGGAAGUACAUCAGCAGAUGCCAUUGAUUCCUCUGAAAAAUCAUAAACUGACACUGUACGACCAUAAAGUAUUAUUCCAAUUCUUGCUGUAGGGGGGAGUGAGUGAAUCCGCAAAUGCAUGCAAAGAGCUUUGUAAAUGCUGCAGGUGGGGUUCAUCUAAACAGUCAUCUAUAACAAGUACAACGGGUGCAGACAUUCUGGAAUCAGAAACAGGAAUAAAACCAGGUCUCUUGUUCCCAGUUUGAACAUAAUCAACAAUGGGAGAUGAAAGUUCUGGAAAGUUGCGAAGAUCUUCUUUGCUUGGAGCUACAUAUUCACCUUCACUUCCAUUCAGUAUCUGGCAAAUCACACAUUGCCACUGGCCUGAACCAAGUAAUAUCUUGCAAUAAAGAUUUGCAUAAGCUCCACAAUUGUGGCAACGAUGAGGAUCGCGCUGUAAUAUUUGAGGACCUGGAAAAAUCUCUCUCCCGGGAGAAAAUAAUGCCCCAAAGCCCAAACUUGGAACAUUUGUUAGUUUCUUUUGCUUCAAGACCUAAUAACAAAAUGAACCGAGCUCGAGUUCAAUUGAAAAUUGCAACUCCAAUGUAAACAAAAAAAUCACAAGAUUCAAGGAUAUAUAUAGGUGAGGCAUUUGGAAAGAAAGGAUAAUCUGACAACAAUUUAUUAACCAAACAAAAAGGUGCUCUCAAAAUCACAACAACAAUCUCAUAAAAGACAGAAAAGAAAAAAAAUUCCCACAACAAUUGGUGCCUUCAGUUUGUACAGGAGAGAGAAUGAUAGAGAUACCUUGUGAGCAGAGAACAAAGCACAUGAUGAUUCAUUGACAAGUGUCGAGUCCUCUGUAGCAAGGGGAACUUGGUGCUGCAACUCAACUGAACCAUUUAAAAAAUGAGGAGGCGAGGAUGUUGGCAAUGUUGAGCCUGAUGAGAAAGCAAUUGGUUGAGGAGUUGCAGGAGAAGUCCGAAAAGGCACAGCAGCAGGCCGGACUGGCGAUUUAAAAACAGGAGGACCAGGGGGGGUGCUUAGAUGAGGAAGGGGGCUCCUAACCCCAUUGGCAGGUGACAACAAAUUUGGGUUCUGGAAAAAAGGGGAAGGGAUCUGAUCUUGUAGCAAUUUAGGAGGAGGAAAUCGAGGAGCUCCAGGUAACAUUGUAGCAGGAGGAGCUGAAUUUUUAUCUAGUUGAGGGGUUGAUGAGUCAGAGUUUGAGGGAGUAACAGUAGAAUAUCCAAGGGAAGGUGGUGGUGGAUUAGUCAUUGCAAUUCAAAGUUUCUCUAUCGAAUAAUCAAGAAUAACCUAGAAGCCAAAAUCAAACUCUAUAGAAAGCUACAGACAGUUGUAUCCCAGGGCCAAUUAUGACAAGAGAAUUCAAAGUGACAACUUUGAGACUGUCAAUUGAUUAUUGAUUGAAAUUCAAUUAAGAAUCAUAAACAAAACAGCCUACAAAGGUCUGAUACACCGGCAGCUCAAGAAUUGCAAUCCAAUCUCAAUAUUGAUGCGGAAGAAGAUACCGAAUGGGAUGACCUUGACAAACCAAAACCCCCAAGUAAAAUCUAAAACCCCAGAGCAAGAAAGGGCUUUGAUGCAAAUCCAGUUCAAGAAAUCCCCAGUAAAAUCAAGAACCCAACUAAAGAACCAAAAUUAUCAGCUUCAGAGAUCAAAUUGAAUGCAAGAAAACCUGAUCUCUCCGCAUAAUUGGGCACCAAAAUCUUCCUCUCGCACAGACAUCUGAAAGAAAAGGAGACCAGUUAGAAUUCCACUUUGUGUCAAGAAAAAGGAUCUAGUUUUCUUCAGCAAAACAAAACCAAUAUUGAAUGAAAUUGAGACGAGGACAGUAGAAUCGACGUACCUGAGAGGGAAAGAAGGAAAAUUGAAAGAUUUGCAGAGUAAAUCUUCAGUCCCUUUUUUAAAAAUCUUAAUUAAAAAAUGGAAAUAUUUUCGAAGUGAUUUUAUAAUCUUUUUGGAUUCUGGGUCCUUUGUCCUCGCAAGCUAGGGAGCUCUCUCUCGUCUCCUGUUGUGUUCGAUUUUCCUUUUACACGAGAGGGAGAAGACAGCAACGUUGCAGUUUGGUCCACAUAAAGUCAACAGGCCAUUUUUUAAUUGUCUUUCUGUAACAGGAUGAAUCGCGAAUGAAGAUCUCCGAUGUCGUUCCAACCCUUCGUUAAAUUAAUUCAACUUCCUCCGAAUUACGGCCCUCGUUACUUUGCGCCUGCAAAGCCCCACUCUGUGAAUCGAAUAAAAAGAAAACACUAAAUUACAAAUUACGUUUACAAAAUAUUAUAAUAAAACUUUAUCAAUAAGAUAAAUUUACACGUUUAUAUAAAAAAAUUAUCUAUUUAUUUUUUUAUUAUCAUCAUCAUUAUUUUUAUUUUAUUUUUAAAAUGAUUUAGGAAAAAAAACGUUAAGGUAAAUAUUUUAAAAAUAUUAGUUCUAACAUUAAUUUUUUUUUAUUAGAGUGAAUCAGGAAUUGAACUCUAAAUUACUUUCAUAUUAUUUGGAUCUCCUUUGGGAACUGCAAAUGGAAAACUUCACGAAGAAUCAUGCCUGAAAGAGGCGGAGCAAAGGAGAUCCGACAUGCCAUCAAAAUAACGGUGAAGAUGGGACAAAACCAGGAAGGCUUUAUUGCUCAUCCAAAGCAUUUCAACCGGGAAACAGUAUAGGACGGGGACCACUUCAAACCUUUUCAAGUGACGGUGAGUACAGAUGUUUUCUUUGUGAAAAAAAAAUAUUAAGGAUGAGAUCAUAGCCGCCGAAGACACCAUCCAGGUUACACCCCCUCGACCACGGAAAGAACAAAAAAAUAGAGACGGGAGAAGAUGGGUUUCCACGGGCGAGGCAGGAUGCAGUUCCCAAGACUCCCUUUUCUUGGAAGUACAUUAGCAAUUAAAUAAUGUAAAACUACAAAUUAACUUGGUUCUGGGGGCACCACUUUCAGACUCCGCAUCCACUCGCAGAAACUUGGAUCAUCAAAGUGAAUAAAGCUGCUUUUUAGCUUUGUUCGUUGUUCUGUUGUCAGAGAUCGAAGCUGCGGGAAUCUUGCCUCCUGCAAUCAAGUUCCAUCAAUUUGGUAAAAAUCCAACACUAUAAGCCUACUAAUAUUAUUGACCAAGAGCUUAUUUUUCUCUUUUCCACCAUAACCUGUUCAUAAGGUGGGUCCUUGUGUGCAGGUAUCAGCCGAGAAACAAAAUAUCUAGCUUGAGAGCUUCCCUCCUGUCAUUAACCCAAACCAACAAGUUGAUCAGUUCGGCCACAAAAGGAAAAAACUUAGGACAAAGGUGCACAGAAAUGGAUUGCAAAGAAUCAAGGGAAGAAAAACCUUGAAUGCAAGGAUUCUAGGUGCUGGAAACCGCAAUUCAGUUAUCUCUUCAGCUAAUGUUCUGCAGGCAGCUAAAGCAGCUGCACUUCUUCCUUCAUCAGCGGCUAGCUCAGCAC